CUUAUCUCGGUGUGCCUCUUGGCAUAGGCCUCCUCUAGUGAUUUCCAUUGAGCUCUGUCCUGCGCAACUCUGGUCCACAGAUAUCCAGCUGACUGAUAUUCAUAUAA
Melitaea cinxia (Glanville fritillary) is the source of this 107-nucleotide long non-coding RNA. RefSeq lists it as uncharacterized. Lineage: Eukaryota; Metazoa; Arthropoda; Insecta; Lepidoptera; Nymphalidae. The record is from RefSeq and is a predicted model, not a curated record. The transcript is spliced from 3 exons.